UGAUUUGAUUCUUCGGAUGAAGAUCUUGGUGACUGAGUGGCGGACGGGUGAGUAACGCGUGGGUAACCUGCCUCAUACAGGGGGAUAACAGUUAGAAAUGACUGCUAAUACCGCAUAAGACCACAGCACCGCAUGGUGCAGGGGUAAAAACUCCGGUGGUAUGAGAUGGACCCGCGUCUGAUUAGGUAGUUGGUGGGGUAACGGCCUACCAAGCCGACGAUCAGUAGCCGACCUGAGAGGGUGACCGGCCACAUUGGGACUGAGACACGGCCCAAACUCCUACGGGAGGCAGCAGUGGGGAAUAUUGCACAAUGGGGGAAACCCUGAUGCAGCGACGCCGCGUGAGCGAUGAAGUAUUUCGGUAUGUAAAGCUCUAUCAGCAGGGAAGAAAAUGACGGUACCUGACUAAGAAGCACCGGCUAAAUACGUGCCAGCAGCCGCGGUAAUACGUAUGGUGCAAGCGUUAUCCGGAUUUACUGGGUGUAAAGGGAGCGUAGACGGAGUGGCAAGUCUGAUGUGAAAACCCGGGGCUCAACCCCGGGACUGCAUUGGAAACUGUCAAUCUAGAGUACCGGAGAGGCAAGCGGAAUUCCUAGUGUAGCGGUGAAAUGCGUAGAUAUUAGGAGGACACCAGUGGCGAAGGCGGCUUACUGGACGGUAACUGACGUUGAGGC
This 674-nucleotide ribosomal RNA is filed under the name uncultured Lachnospiraceae bacterium. Its description in RNAcentral is "bacterial SSU rRNA". It matches the Rfam family "Bacterial small subunit ribosomal RNA", at positions 64 to 752 of the family's 1533-position model. The record is from RNAcentral. Lineage: Bacteria; Bacillati; Bacillota; Clostridia; Lachnospirales; Lachnospiraceae.